RNAcentral lists this ribosomal RNA (250 nucleotides) under uncultured bacterium. RNAcentral's name for it is "partial 16S ribosomal RNA". It matches the Rfam family "Bacterial small subunit ribosomal RNA", at positions 524 to 773 of the family's 1533-position model. The record is from RNAcentral.
CACGUAUGGGGCAAGCGUUGUUCGGAAUCACUGGGCGUAAAGGGCGUGUAGGCGGUUCGAAAAGCCUGGCGUGAAAGGUAUCGGCUUAACCGGUAGACGGCGCUGGGAACUGUCGGGCUGGAGUCACGGAGGGGGAGCUGGAAUUCCAGGUGUAGGGGUGAAAUCUGUAGAGAUCUGGAAGAACACCGGUGGCGAAGGCGAGCUUCUGGCCGAUGACUGACGCUGAGGCGCGAAAGCGUGGGGAGCAAAC